RNAcentral lists this ribosomal RNA (112 nucleotides) under Lepisosteus oculatus (spotted gar). The record is from RNAcentral. Lineage: Eukaryota; Metazoa; Chordata; Actinopteri; Semionotiformes; Lepisosteidae.
GCCAGCAGCCAUAUCACCCUGCAGCUCCCAACUGGUUACCCACUGAAGCAGGGUUGAGCCUGGUCAGCACCUGGAUGGGAAACCCCCUGUGAAGCUAUGGUUGCUGCGAGAA